GCACAUUUCACUAGACUUAAGUGUAUAAAAAUCUUUUAAAAACACAAGGAAGGGGUUGCAUGCACUGGGGCUUGCCUGGGAUAAACACUACGUUAGUGUUUGUUAGACGUCGAUCACUUGACGACCAUCCUUUGUCUUGGCACUCGUUAGAUUAUCCAUCUUCAGGUUGGCCCGACUGACGACGUCGUCUUGCGGAGAUGUCCAAUCUCUGCAUUAUCCUGGGGUCGACUGGGGUUGUCUUCCACAUCACAUGAUUAAUUAUCGUACCUAAAUGAAAUGCAUAAUGCACAUGUAUGAAUAUAAAAAGAACUAGCACAAUACUAGAUAAUGUUACACAGUCGAGGAUUACACACUACUAAUAAGUCAUUAGAACCAAUUACAAGAAACGCCAGUUGUCGAUAUAAGACUAACUAUAAUAUUCGCGCUUCUUAUGCUCAUCCGGUGCUAGCUCAAACAUCACGAAACAACACACUAAGCAUAAAUUUUAUAUCUUUCUUAGCUAACACAUAACACCAAAGACUAACAACACUUAAGUUAAUUAAUCUAGUAUACCUCGGACUUCGAGUAACAAUUAGUAGCUUUACAAUUAGCUUUAGAAUUACUAUUCUAAAAUAUCAUGCAAAGCAUAUCGACUAAAUAAAGCACCACACUAAUUGUUCUAAUAAGUAGAACAUAAUCUUACAGCAUAGAGUUCUACAAAAUGGCUUCCCUAACAACUAAAGAUCUAAAGCGCUUAUAAGCACUCUCCACUGACAGUUCUAAGGUUUUCACAGAAACGGACUUAUCGAUCUUACUUGCCUCCUAAUUUUUUUGGGUAACAACAAUUAUUUAUUUAUGACAUUUAAUCUAUUAAUAAACCUAGAGAAUGUGAUGUCUGAUAUGAAAGGGUAUCGACUCCAUCAAAUAAUUAAAAUAUGGCUCUAGCCAACAUAAAACGCCACCAUGGAUUAAAUUGAGAAUUGGGUCCAUGGACUCCAUAAAAUUCAAAGGUAGUGUAACAAUUUAAUUGUUUUUUAAAGUUACUUAUUUCACUAAAGGAAAAGUAUCUCUAAUUACGCGAAAAUUUGUUGACUAAUAGAACACACUCUAAAUUAAAUCAAACUAUUCCUCAAUCUGUUGUAAGUCUACAUAAUACUUAACUCGAGUCGAGAUCCGCAAAUACGAGGACGAUUCAGAGUUGGGCAAAACACCGAAUAUCUAGCGAUCGACGCACGAAACUUCACUCUCCACCAUCCAAUUUAAACAGUAUGCUAAUCGAUGAGAUUCGGUUAAAGAGAGAACGUUGAUGAUUAUUGGUUUUAAGUCGAACAAAUAUUCGAUUAAGACAUUUUAGCAAACAUUUAAUAUAACCACAACACAUGUGCAACUAACUAAAGAAUCGUCGUGACCAAUAUACUCAUUUAAUUCGUUAAUUAAAUCAAAUAGCCAGAGUAAUAUAUGAGCUUACCGCAACUAAGUCGAUCUCGGAUUUUGCAAGGA
RNAcentral lists this long non-coding RNA (1479 nucleotides) under Zea mays. Its description in RNAcentral is "long non-coding RNA (ZMAY_LNC000888)". The record is from RNAcentral. Lineage: Eukaryota; Viridiplantae; Streptophyta; Magnoliopsida; Poales; Poaceae.